CUGGUGUUGGGUAUAGUGUCGUUUUCUGCGUUAUGGUGACUGUCCUUGUGAUUGCUGGCUUAUGGUGACUGUCUUAAUCUUGCUGUGUGUUAUUUGGUGUUGUGGCGAUAUCCUGAGAUGCUGAAGAUGACGGGAGGACUGAGGACUGUGGGUGAAGAAGGAGCGAGUCACCCCCAUUCACCCCAAGCUGAUGAUGAUGAUGGGUGUGGUUCGGGGAGGUGAGAGGUGGAGUCUUGUGGUCAUCCGUUCUUCUGGGACCCGAGGGAGGACUUGUAGGUGGACUUGUGGAGCAGUGAUUGAAGGGGACGACGAGGAGGAGGAAGAGGAAGAGGGAGCUGGUGAGAGGAAGGAAAGAGAGAGGAGGAAGAGAGAGUGAGAGAGAAAGGAAGGAGAGAGGAGGAGGAAUAAGAACUGAGAGAAGGGGAAAGGAAGGAGAGGUAAGCACUUCAGAAUGAGGAAUAUGGAAGAGAGAAGGAGGAAUAGGAACUGAGAGAAUAGAAAAAGGAAGAAAGGAAGGAUAGAAACAGGAACUAGAGGAUAGGAAAGCACUUAUGAACGAGGGAGAUAGAGUAGAGAAGGAGGAAUAGGAACUGAGAGAAUAGAAAAAGGAA
Molecule: long non-coding RNA, 611 nt
Organism: Eriocheir sinensis (Chinese mitten crab)
Lineage: Eukaryota; Metazoa; Arthropoda; Malacostraca; Decapoda; Varunidae
Exons: 3
Source: RefSeq, a predicted model, not a curated record